GGGCUUGUACCGGUUUCGACGGGGAUGAUGCAGCUUUAGAAGCUAUCCGAAAGAAGUCGCGUUAAACUUCAAACUUAAAUUUAAACGCUAACGAUAGUUACGCAUUAGCAGCCUAAGCGCUGCUGGCCAGCCUUCCUGCACUCACACGGGAAGAUUCUGACCUCAUUUUUGUGAGAAACGACUGUUGCGGUUCCUCCCGCAACCGGGCGUAUUUAGAGGAUACCGGCUAGGACAAGACGUGCGCAUCUUAUCCUAGUGGGGAAUCUUGAAGCGUACUAUGAUAGUAGAAGGAGAGGGAAUUCGUUUUCGGACAUGGGUUCGACUCCCAUCAGGUCCAUCC
Molecule: non-coding RNA, 340 nt
Organism: Oribacterium sinus F0268
Lineage: Bacteria; Bacillati; Bacillota; Clostridia; Lachnospirales; Lachnospiraceae
Rfam family: transfer-messenger RNA
About the family: Bacterial tmRNA, also known as 10Sa RNA or SsrA, is named for its dual tRNA and mRNA-like properties. Its role is to liberate the mRNA from a stalled ribosome.
Source: Rfam